This 20729-nucleotide long non-coding RNA is filed under the name Coffea arabica (coffee). Its description in RNAcentral is "long non-coding RNA (CARA_LNC006727)". The record is from RNAcentral. Lineage: Eukaryota; Viridiplantae; Streptophyta; Magnoliopsida; Gentianales; Rubiaceae.
CUUCAAACGCUUCACGGGAUACGUGUUGAUGAAGUAAAAUUGAUGCUGAAAAGGCUGUUUUCAGCUUCAGAAAACAAGAAAAGCGUGGAUAUGAGGGCCCUUUUCUUUGAGCUGAUGUUGAACGUGAUGAUGAGGAUGAUUGCUGGGAAGAGGUAUUAUGGGGAGAAUGUUGGGGAAGUUGAGGAGGCUAGGAGGUUUAGGGAGAUUGUAGAGGAGACGAUGAUAAUUGGUGGAGCUUCGAAUAUGGGAGAUUUCUGGCCGGUUUUGAGGUGGUUAAAAGUGGGAAAGAAGGAGAAGGCCUUGAGGGUUUUGCAGGAGAAUAGGGAUCAAUUCGUGCAGGAGUUGAUCAAGGGGUUUAGGAGUGCAAAAGAUGCAGAAAAUGGUGGCGGCGAUGCAGAGGAAACAGGGGAAAAGAAGAAAACGUUGAUUGAAGUUUUGUUGACCCUGCAACAGAAGGAGCCUGAGUAUUACAAGGAUGAAAUCAUUAGAAGCCUUAUGCUGGUAUGGUUACUCUGAUAAAUUUCUUUCUGGCUCUUCUUCUUCUUAUUAAUGUAGCUAAUUUGUUAUCAUUUCUAUGUUCCCUAGAAAAUGUCAAACUUCGAUUAAGGACAAAUUAAUAGAAAUUGAAAGUAAUUCGAAGAUUAAGUGACUAAAUCUAGAUGGCCAAAAUUUGCUUUCUUUGAGUAUAAAAUAUAAGCUUACUUCAGUUGUCGUACAGUAAUUCGAUUGCUUCCAUUAUUGUGCAAAGUUAUGAUGAAUAAGAAAAAUUCACUGGUACAGUUCAAGAAUAGAGUUGACCGCACGGUGUGAACAGGAGUAGAUCCCAACGUAUUGGGCGGGGGGCCCACUUUUCUUCGGUGUUGGCAUUUGACAGUGAAGCAGAAAGAAAGUAUGAUGUCUAGCCAACCGAUGUCUAAAGUUGGUUGACUAGAUUUUAGAAGCAAAUGUCACUGAUCAUGCUCUUCAUUCUACCGUUUACCACUUUCUUCUUCUUUUCUCAAGUGCAUUUCACCAUUGACCGCUUUCGUAUUGCAGGUUUUACUAGCAGCAGGUACCGAUACAUCAGUGGGAACAAUGGAGUGGGCAUUGUCACUAAUGCUAAACAAUCCAUCAACUUUGGAGAAGGCAAAAGCAGAAAUUGACAGAAUCAUAGGAAAAGAACGUUUAUUAGAUGAAUCAGAUGUGGCUAAUCUACCCUAUCUCCGGUGCAUAAUUAGUGAAACAUUGAGGAUGUUUCCAGCAGGGCCUAUAAUGCUACCCCACGAAUCCUCCGAGGAAUGUGUGGUUGGGGGUUACCGUGUGCCUGGGGGGACAAUGUUGAUUGUCAAUUUGUGGGCUAUCCAAAAUGAUUCCAAGAAUUGGGAGGAUCCAAGAAAAUUCAAGCCUGAAAGAUUUGAAGGGCUUGAAGGGACCAGAGAUGGCUACAAAUUAAUGCCAUUUGGUUCUGGUAGAAGAGGUUGUCCUGGGGAGGGAUUGGCCAUGCGCAUGGUUGGAUUUGCUUUGGGAUCAAUUAUUCAGUGCUUUGAUUGGAGCAGAAUCAGUGAGGAGAUGGUAGAUUUGGCUGAGGGGCCUGGACUGACUCUGCCUAAGGCUCAACACUUAGUCGCCAAUUGUCGAGCACGACCUGGAAUCAUGAGCCUUCUUUCUCAAAUUUAGACUGCGACGAGGAUGUAUCUUGACUCUUGAGAAAGGGUGGGCAGUAUUUGCCUCGUCUCUUCUUCUUGUUUGAAGAAAAAAUAUGUACUAGUAAAAAAAAAAAAGUCUUGUUUUAUAUAUUUCACUUGUUUCUUUAAGGGAAAAAAUGACGGAGUAAUUUACUUUAUAGUAGUUGCUAUUUGAUGACGCUAAUUUUUGAAUUUCCUUGUUUUAAGUUGGAAUUUUCACAGCACAAUAAUUAUACCUUGCAACUCCUAACUGAAAACAACUCAAACCAUAUAUUUAUUCAUUCUCCUAAUGUCCACACUAAGCAAUAUCUUAGUUGGCAACUUCUUGAUCCGAAAGUUUUCUUUAGUGUUGAUAAUCAAUGAGAGAUAAAAAAAAAUGAGUAUCUAAAAAUAUAAAGGUCUAUCUAUUUGGACAACCGUUCUUAAGACAUAUUUCAGAUAAAAAAAUACAAGAUUAAUUAGAAUAAAUAAAUAUAAAGAGGGGCAGGAAAGAUUAAAUAGACAAACAUAUAUAAGUACAAGGAAGGAUAAUAAUUGUAGUAAAUGUGUGUGUAUAUAUAUAUAUAUAAUAAAUUAGAUAAAUUUUAAAUGUAUUAACGAGUGUCUAGUAAACACCCGAAAAAAUCCAAAAUAUGACGAUUUUUUUCCGUAAGAAAACUCGAAUAUGAGACGUCUCAGUUGCACUUCGUCCCUAGAAACGCCCAACCAAUAUCCCUUCCCUUCUAAAGGCCGCUGCCGCUAGUGCUGAUGACCAGGGCAUGGUCGAUAUGAAAUCAGCCUUCUUCGAACUCACACUGAACAUUAUGAUUAGGAUGAUUGCUGGAAAACGGUAUUCUGGUGAUGGCUCAGGAAAAAUAGGGGGAGUCGCGAGCUUUCAAGAGAUGGUUAAAGAGAGUGUUAAAGUCAGCGGAUCAACAAAUGCUGCAGAUUUUGUUCCGCUACUGAGGUGGAUAGGGCAAAAUAAGCUUGAAAGUCAUCUGAAAACGUUGCAGAUGAAGAGGGAAAAGUUCCUACAAGAUUUGAUUGAAAAGCACGGAAGCAUCACCAGUCAUCGUGAGAACAAGACACUGAUUGAUGUUCUCUUAUCUCACCCAGAGACAGAACCAGAGUACCAUACGGAUCAAAUCAUCAGAGGCUUGGUUCAGGUGAGUCAAGUUUUAAGGAGAAUAGUAGAUCGGUCCCUCGAAAGUGCCAACAUUCCAUAAAAUCAAGUAUAUUAACAACCUAAGAGAAUCCACCUCAAGCGCUAGCUAGCUGUCAUACUUGAAGGGUAGGAUCAUAAGUUCAUAGCAUUAACUUCCCUGCUUUUUCAGCUUUUAACAAUCAGUCAAGAUAACUCAAAAGCAUGUAUCAUGUGUUAUCCGGUAUUGAUAGAGAUAAUAAAUCAAAUUUCGUCUAAUCUUAAUAGCUGAUAAUGUUAUCGGCGGGAAGUGACGCAACAUCUGGAACUAUGGAAUGGGCACUGUCAGUUCUGCGGAACAACCCAGAGGCUUUAAAGAAAGCACAAGAAGAAAUAGACUUUCAAAUAGGCCAAUCAAGGCUGAUAACUGACUCCGACCUUGGCCAGCUUCCUUACCUUCAAGCAAUAAUAAACGAAACCUUUCGUAUGUAUCCUGUGUCCCCUUUUAUCUCCCUGCAUGAAUCAUCCGAAGAAUGUACAGUUGAAGGCUUUGGUAUCCCUCGUGGGACAUUGCUCCUAGUGAACCUUUGGGCUAUUAAUUAUGAUCCUGAAAUAUGGGAAGAACCCACAAAAUUCAAACCUGAAAGGUUCAUGAACUUGGAAGAUCAGAGAUAGAGAUUCGAGUUUAUGCCAUUCGGGCUUGGCCGAAGAGGAUGUCCUGGAGAAAAUUUUGCUCGACGAGUUGUGGGGUUGGCAUUGGGUUCACUUAUUCAAUGCUUUGAGUGGGAAAGACCUGGGGAAGAAUUGGUGGACAUGAGUGAAGGAGCUGGGCAUACUAUGCCUAGAGCUCAACCGCUGCUGGCAAAGUAUAGGCCACCCCCUGAAAUGGUUAAGCUUCUUUGAGUUGUGAUCUGAGUGUUUGACAAUGUUUUCUUCCUACAACACCUAGACGACUGUGGAGAAACAAGUGAACAAGAAAACAGAGGAUGUCUCUCUGUACGUGUUUGUUUUAACUUUUAAUACUACUAUUUUAUCUCUUUCAACUUCGCUUUGUGUUGCUGCAAGAAAGUAUAAAAAAGCAAAGGGUUUACUCUAGUUUCUUGCUUUCUCCAAAGAUCCAGCAUUUUCAUGUGUGUUUCUAUUAUUUGUUAACCAAUGGUUCAGAAUUCAAUCGACGGAGAAGCAAAAUUUUGCCAAGCAUGAGAAAUUCCCAAAAUUCUGAUCAAAUUUAAAUUAUUUGUAAGAUGCUUUUGGUUGCAUGUUGUACUUUAGAGGGUCCUCACGUUCUGUAAUUUAGAGCUUUCUUGCAUUCUAUAACUGCGAGGUAAGGUAAGCAAAAUUUAAAUUGCCCCCAGGGCAUAUGGCGUAGCGGUUGAGGGGUCGGUCUUGAGUUGUUGACUUCUUCACUGAUUGGGGUUCGAUUUGUACCCGCUACGCUGCACAUCCUGACUCACCCGGGAAAACUGUAUGGAGCUAUCGGCUUCCCUCCAAUUUGGUAUGCCGGCUCGGGUCCAAAGGGUUCGGAUCGGGGCAUGUUCCGAAUUACCAAAAAAAAACUUAAAUUUUGAUCAAGUUUAUCUGCUUUGGAAAAACCCCAUUCAACAGGAGGUUGCCCACUGCAAAAAAGCACCCCUAUUGUACAAUUUUUCAAACAUCAUCAAAAUCUUGUUUUUGAGGUUUCAAAGCCGCUAAAUUGAACAUUAGCUCUGAAUCGGAUAAUUAUGUUCAAUGGUGAUGUUUUGCUGAUAAUUACUCUUUAGUUAGUCCAGUGCGCAUGUACGCAUAGUCCAUUCGAUGCCCGUGGGAAACAGGUGUUACAAGGUCCAUGCAUUUUUCAACCAAAGAUAAGUCAAAGAGCGAAUUGCGCGAAAUGUCACUAAACUAUUUCAAAGUGCCGGUUCUGAUCAUUAAACUUUUUUAUUAGCGCGAAAUGUCACUGAACUAGUAAAUCUAUACCGUUUUGGUCACUCCGUGUAUUUGUGCCGUUAGGAGAGACGGAAAUUAACUUUUUGAGGGGUAAUUUCGUCUACACAAUAGUUAAAAAAUUUAUGCCUUCAUUCUUCUUCACCCACAACCAUAGUGCUAUACCAUAUUUACAUUCCCAGCCUUCCCGUACGCAUCAAUCAUCACAGAAUAGGUAACCUCAUCCGGUUCACACCCAAAAGACGGCAUUUUUUCGAACCACUGGACGGCUUUCUCAGGUAAAGAAGACAGCCUGGCGCAGCUAAUUAUGGUGGAAAGGAGGAGUAUUGGACCAGCAAUCAAAGAAUCAAGAGAUGAAUUCGCUGAAGAAGGGUUCUUUUCGUCCUCUGGGGCUGCUGCUUGGCCUUGUACCUGUCCCAUAUCUCAUCGAGAUUGGAUGCUACGGAGAUGAAGUAAGAGGAAAAGGCAACAGCAGCAACCAAAAAAUUGGGAUGGACGAGAAUUUUGAAGUUGGAGUUGGGGUUGGGUGCUAUCUGCAACCCAUGUAAAGUUGUGGAGUGAUUUGCGAUUAAUCUGUUAAAUGUUAUUGUGCCAACUGCCAACAGAAUUGGAAUGGACAUCAAAGUCCAGUGUAGGCCGACGACGGACGGAGCUCUCUAUGCCCACCCACUUCUGCAACAAAACCACCGAACUUUACAUUUAAUUUCUCAUUCUUUUCACUCUUUCCGCAUCGUCAUUUUCGCCACUCCCAACCCCAGAGGUAUGUAAAGGUGACAUUAUCGGGCUUAACUCCUCUCUCAAUCAUAUCCGUAAACAAUUUCUCGGCUCUGUCCAAGUCUCUACAUUUUCUAAACACCUUGAAGGUAACAUUAUACAAAAUCACUUCUUUCUUCAACUUAAGCCUUUCCAGAAAGUAACUCAGCACCAAAGGCGCAGUUUCAGAGUUGGACAUGUUAUUGAGCACAACGGCAGCAUCUUGCUCUACAACUUUGCCACCCAAAUUAGCCAAAAUACUAAUAACGUCAGCUUCUACAGGGUCACACGAGUCCAAUUGUUGGGAAGCUUGGACUAAAGAAGCAUACCUGAAAUCGUAGGAAUUGCGCCUGAGCUUUGAUGCCCUGGAGCUGUUGGGGUUGACCCAGAUAUAGCUUUUUGAGGAAGAAGAGAUGGUUUUAGCAUCUGGGCGGUGAGGAAUUUGGGAAAUUGAGGGGGAUUGUUGUUGGGAAGCCGGUAUAGAGAGGGAAGGUUUUGGAUGGGGCUUGAGAGGAGGAAAAGCGAGGGCGUUAUGGGGGAUGAUUCUGAGUUGGUGGAGGUGAGUGGGAUAAAGAGAGUUACAGAAGAGGUGUGGGUGGCGAGAGAGAUGAGACGGCGAAUAGGCGGCGGCCACCAUUCUUCUCUCUACUCUUCUUCCUUCCUUCUCAGUCGUCACUCACUCAGCAGAGCAGUCAGCAGCAUUUGAAUUUUCUUCUUUUUUACAACUAUGAAAAAUUUCGCCUGCAUUUUUUGGUUGAAGUUUGAUGGUGCCGCCAUUCAGAUCAGCCAUCUCCUUUAUGUCUUUGCCGGAUACGGAACCAUUGAUUAUGUAAAAGCUUCAAGAAAAAGGCUGUGCUGACAAAUUUGCCCCUCAAAAAGUUGAUUUCCGUCUCUCCUAACGGCACAAAUACACGGAGUGACUAAAACGGUAUAGAUUUACUAGUUCAGUGACAUUUCGCGCUAAUAAAAAAGUUUAGUGACCAGAACCGGCACUUUGAAAUAGCUUAGUGACAUUUCGCGCAAUUCGCUCUAAGUCAAAAAAAUAUUUGUCUGCGGAGCGGAACUCCAUUUUCAUAUAAAAAAAAAUGCUGAAAGUCGCCAUAUCUGUUUCAGUACUACCACUCUACCAGUUCCAUCUGACAGCUCACGACCGCAAGGGGGGGAAAAAAGACAAAUAAAAACAAGGAUCUAUGUCAAUCGCAUGUUAUAUGAAAUCUUAACACAAGAUUUAAGAUUGCAAGAUAUCAGCUGAUACAAGGUGGCCUAAGCUGAAGGCGUCUUGCUCCCUAGAAGCUAUAUCACUGAAACAGCAGGGAAUUGUUUAGAAUAUUACAUUGGAUAAGCAUUUUUUUUUUUUUUUGGUAAAUAAAGAUGCAUUAAAAAUAAAUCAAGUCAACAGAGUGCAAAUUAAGGUACAGUCAUCCGUGGGGUGGAAACCCCCUUUAAGUCUUGCAAAAGUAAGGGAAGUACAAAAUUAGGACAUAAUUCAAAAAAAGUGAAGUCUUGAGUGUUGCUUCUUCCCCAGUUGGCAAGGAUGUCUGCACAUUUGUUUGCUUCUCUAUAAUUAUGGUGAAAACAUACUUUCUGGAAUGUAGUCAAUAGCUCCCUGCAAUCAAGAAUAAUAGGUGCAAGUUCAUGAGAAAUAAGAUUAUUUGACUUACACAAGGAGAAUAUAAAGGCAGAGUCCAUCUCCACUUCGAGAGAGUGGAUGUUGAGUUUUUUUGCAAGUUGUAAGCCUUCUCUAAGAGCCCAACAUUCAGCAGAAGGAACUGAACAGAAGCCUAAAUUUCUUGCAAAGCCCGCAAUCCAUAUCCCAUUUGAGUCACGAAUAAUGCCGCCAGCUCCUGCCUGGUUUGUUGGUCCAGAGACUGAACCAUCAGUGUUGAGCUUGGCGAAACCUAUAGCAGGGGGGAUCCAUCUGAUGAAUUUUUCUUGUCUAGGGGAUCUGGAGAAGUGAGAACCAGGCCCUAGUAGGCUUCUGUUCCAGAUGCACGCCUCCGAGCAAGGAUGUAAAUGAAUCUAACCAAACUGAACACCCUAGUAUUCAAGUUUAUUUGAUUAUUUUAACAAGUUUGUAAUUUUAUUCAAAUUUAAUUUAUUUAUUUAUCGAACCAAGUUUGUUUGAUUAUUUUACCGAAUUUGAACGAGCUAUUUAUUGAAGAGUGUGUUUGGAUAGGAGAUUAUUUGAAAUAUUAUUUAGAAUAAUUACUGUAGCACUUUUUGUAAUGUAAUGUAUGUAAAAUAAAAAGAUGAUUGAGAAGAUAAAAAGAUGUGUUGGAAAUUGUAUUUGUGAUGUAAGCAAAUAAUUUCUAGCCAUUAUUUGGCUAUCCAAACACACUGAAUAUAAAACGAUAUUCAAUCUUAAUUUGACUAGUUAGCAAAUCAAACUCGAAUGAACUCAAACCAAACUGAACUCGAUUCAAAUAUCAAGUAGAUUGAUUUAUCUUUCAACAUUUCGGAGUUGUUAUCCAUGUGUUUGAGAAUGUCAUCCUCCUGUAUUGUGUUUUGGUUUUUCAAGUCCCGAACGAUGUUUUUUUGUUGCAGCAAAGGAGGAAAGUUUUAGAGAGCUUAGGAUAUUACAAUAAAAUAGCAGUCAGGAGUAGCGAAGGAGGAAACAUAUGAUUCAGCCGAAAGGGGAACGAAAAGAAGAAGAAGAAGAAGAAGAAGAAGAGGAGAAGUUAUGGUUUUAAUUUAUUUGAAGAAUUGCCAUAUAUAUAUAUAUAUAUAUAUAUAUGUAUUUUAGGUAAAAGAAGAUUAUAUACUAGUAGUAGUUUGGAAAAAUAAGGAAUGCGAUCAUAAUAAGUAAAUGCAAAAAAGUUUGCCGUAAACUCCUUUGAGUGUUUGUAGUUGUCAAAGCUCUUUGUCAGGCUGCCCCCAGUGGUUCGAAAAUGUGCUGAGGACCUCUUUUGAACUAAUUUGUUACAUGGAUGGAAACCAUACGCACACCAAAAGAUUAGAAAUUUUCAUGCUAUCCCUUGUUUCUACAUUUAAUAAUAAUAAUAAAAAAAAGUGGAUGAGGCGUUGAUCUACAAAGUUGAGGUUUUAGAAUUUGGAGAUCUUGAAUUCAAUACUUAUCAAAGUGUGAGUCUCUAAACUUUGUGUUAGUAUUUAUCCCACCAUAUGUAUGUAGAUUAGUUGUAGUUCGAAAUAUUUGUAAUCUCUUAUAUUAGUCCUAUAGUUGUAGAUUAUACACGAUAUUAUCGAAGAAAAUAUUUAAAGAAGAAAAAAAAUGCAAUCUUAGUGCCCGAUAUGUAAAAUUGGUAACCACGAAACAAAUCUUGAUGAAUCCACGAAAUUCACCAUGAUCCCAAUAUAUGGGAAGAACCCACGAAAUUUAAGCCUGAAACGUUUGGGGGAUUCGUGUUUAUGGCAUUUGGGUAUGGUCAAAGAGCAUGUCUUGGUGAAAAUUUAGCUAGACAAGUUGUGAGGUUGGCAUUGGGCUCACUCAUUCAAUGCCUUAAUUGGGAAAGAAUUGGUGGAAAUGAGCGAAGGAGCUGGGUUUACUAUGCCAAGAGUUCAACCGCUGCUGGCAAAGUACAGGCCGCGCCCAGAAAUGGCUUCUUUCUGAGUUGUGAUCCUGGUGUUUUGGGAAUGUUCUUUGCCACCUGCACCACUGGGGAAUCGACUGUACGAGGAAAACAGAGGAUUUCCCACUGUAGUGCGUGCGUACCACGUUGGCUUACCACUACUUUUUAUAUUUUACCUUCACUUGGUCCAUAAUUUUUGCAGCUCAAGGAUGUGAAAAAGUCCGUGCCGUCCUGAUUCCAUUGUAAUGUAAGCUGGUCAAAGCUACAAGCCGGUUAUAUACGACGCUACUCCAAGAAAGGAGAAAAAUAUAAGCAAAGCAAGGAGGCCGUAAAGGAUGGAUAUCAGUAGCAGAUCAUUGACAGAUAAGAUACUAAUAUUCAAGAAUGAGAGGGCCGUAUCCCUUACGUCAAAGGAGUUUUGAAUCUUGAUUACUGAUACAUUCUUGAAAUAACAAUAAUGAAUUACUAGAUAAAAUAGGCAUACGGCAUAAGUAUCAUUCCAACACUUUGGAUUUAACCUCGAUCUCUAUGGAUGCUUCAUACUGCUACCUCCUGCUUUUUCCCUUCCUGUAUUUACUUACCAAUCAAAUCAUCAAAAAGUUCCGGAAUCUCCCACCAAGUCCACCUCUUUCCUUACCCAUAAUUGGCCAUCUUCAUCUCAUCCAGAAACCACUCCACCGAGGACUAGCUAAGAUCUCCGAUAAAUAUGGUCCAAUACAGUUUCUUCAUUUUGGUUCUCGGCCUGUCCUGCUUGUAUCUUCACCCUCAGCUGCAGAAGAAUGCUUCACCAAGAAUGACAUAAUCUUCGCUAAUCGGCCAAGAUUUCUCGCCGGAAAACACCUUGGCUACAACUAUACAACUCUGGGAUGGGUCUCAUAUGGCCAACACUGGCGCAACUUGAGAAGAAUAGCUACUGUGGAGAUCUUAUCUGCUACCCGAAUUCAAGCUUACACGAGCAUCCGUGUUAACGAGGUCCAUUCAUUGAUCAAGUACCUUCUAAUGGCCUCUAAAGCUAGUGACUCUAGCACGGUUGAGAUGAAAUCGGCCUUCUUUGGGCUGACACUUAACAUCAUGAUGAGGAUGAUUGCAGGAAAGCGAUACUACGGCGAUGAUGCCCAGAACAAGGAGGAAGCCGCAAGGUUCAAAGAGAUAGUUAAAGAGACUUUUCAACUCAGUGGGGCGACAAACAUAGCAGAUUAUAUUCCAUUAUUGAAGUUUUUUGGGCAACAGAAGCUUGAAAGCAAGCUGAAGACUUUGCAGGCGAAGAGGGAUCAAUUCUUGCAAGAUUUGAUUGAAGAACACAGAAGAACCGUGAGGAGUUCCGACAGUGAGAAGGGCAACAAAACAAUGAUAGACGUUCUCUUGUCCCUCCAACAGACCGAGUCCGAAUACUACACAGAUGAGAUCGUCAAAGGUAUGAUUGUGGUAAGUAACUAUUUAAUCCUCUCGAUAUCUUAAUCCAUCCGUCUGUUAAGCAUACAGAAAUUCUGAUCUUUGUCUGGGAUCAGUCCCAUGAAGGAUUGAGUCUGAAAAUCUAAGUCAAAGCUAGUUUGAUUGCACUAGUACCAUCUCCGUGUUGCCUUGCAUUUUUUAUUGAGCUGUAAUGCUAUGUUUCCUACACGUAACAAUUCUAGGGAUAAUUUCAGAAACCUCCCCUGAGAUUUCUAACAGUUUCACUGCCCUUCUCCGAGGUUUCUAAAAUAUCAGAAACCUCCCCUACUAGGUCAUUGGGGUCCAAUUGUCACAUCAAUCAUGGAAGAAUGACUUAAUUACCCAUACAACUUAAGAGGUAUUUCCCAAUUAUGUUCACAUGAUUAGUUAAACUGUUAUUAACUAGAUUUAACAGAAAUGAUGACAAUUUAUAAGUUUUUUUAAAAAAUUUCUAACAUGCCAUUACAAAAAGGGGGCCAUAUAUAGGCACCUUUCUAUGAUUGAUAAUUGAUGUAUGCGAGUAGAAGCAAUGAUUCAAACUUUAGUGUUUUUUGUGGAAUAAGAGAAAUAGAGCUUCUUUAGGUAUAUCUAAGGAUUUAGGAGAUUUGAAAAGGAGAUUUGCUCUUAAAUUUUUUUCAAAAUUUUGGUGAUUGUGAAAAUUUCAAGAUCAGCCUCUAAGAUUUUUCUGCUAUUAAAUUUUGGAAAUUUUUAUUAUUUGAUUGCAGUUGUUAAGGUAAUUCUUGAUGGUGAUGCUUAAUAGUGACCCUACAAGUGAAAAAGAAUAGUUUGGAUCAAACAAAAAAAGGAAAAUAUGAUUUUAUGUAGUUUGUAUUAUGUUCGGUAUGAUCUGCUCCAUUUGAUGAUUGGUAUUUAAUUAUAGUGUUUUUUCUUUUUUAUCCUAAUUAUUACUUUUAUUGUCAUCGAAAUUAGGUGCUGGUUUUGUAUGAAAUAUACGUAAAGAUUGUUGGUUGUAUGCUACUAAAUUGAAAAACCUUUUAAUUAUGACAAUUUUUUUCUUGUUUGUGAUUAUUCAACAAAUGUUUUUUUUUAAAUCGAAAUGUUGGUUGUAAUAGGAUUCACAUGCUUUGUUUCUCUUGUAGGAGAUUAUGCAAUUGAUGUGUUAUAAUAGAUGUAAUAGUAUGAUAUUACACAUGCAAUAUGUAGAUAAGAUUUUGAGUUGCUAAACUUGUUGUAGAGUUAGUAAAUUGAUAUUUUGUUUACGCUCUAUGAAUACGGUAACAAUUACACCGUCUCAAAUUUGAUAAAGUUAAAAUAGAUAUAUAUUGUUCGUAGGAAAUUAACUAUCUAAUGCAAAACUUGAGGGUAGUUAUGGAAUUUGACAGGUGCCGAACUUGUGCAAUAAUAAUUACUAAAAAGUCCUAAUUACCAUCACAAUUAAUUAUAGAACGAAUUCAAGUACUGGAGCAGGACCCUAGGUGAGCAAUGGGUUACUUGAUUCACCAUGUUCCCAAAGAGUUUGCUUGAUCCGAUAUACCAGAAUUGUCUAUAAAAAUACUAAGUUUGCAUACAAUGGCAAGUAGGGUCGAUUCCACAAGGAACGGGUAGGAAGUUGUUUCCUUCCAAGUCAAUAGAAUAAAAAAGAGGGACAAUUAAUGGGAUGAAACUAAAAAUAAAAUAAAUAAAAUUCAAGAGCUAACUCAACAACAAUUUAGUAAAAAUAGCAAUUAAUAAAAUUCUACCCAAAUGAUUAACUGCUCAGGCACGGUCCAAUUAAAUGAUCAUCGAUGCAAAGAUAUUUCAUUCAUCUGUCAUUAGGUUGGUUAUAGCUAUCAACAAGCUUUGACAACCAGUUCUUCCUUACUUUUUCGACAGUCAAGGUACGACCAUUGACUGUUUCUCUAACCAGAAAACAACUCUAGGUACGACCGUAAGAAUUUAAUUAUCCAAUUGGAUUAAAACUAGAAGAACCCAACCCUGAUCAAUAAGCACGCUAAGAGGGUUUAUUUAAAUCAGAUCUUACGUUUCUCCAACAUAAAGCCAAUUAUGGUGGUUGUUACUAGUUGUCAACUAAACGAAUAAUUACGGAUUCAAUUUAAUUAACGUGGCAGUAGGCUAUUAUGUUAAAUCAAAUACCCGACCGUUGAUAUCCAAUUAAUAAAAUACUCAUGAACAAUUAAUUCAGGAAACGUACGAAUAGCAAUAAGUUGGAAGAAAUAAUGAAAAUUCGAUUAGAUGUUACAGAUAUUAUGAACCGUGCUUUCGCGUCGACCUUCGGGUAGAGGAGAAAUCUAGCCGCUCCUUAUCAUAUCCAUCUCGCGUGAUUUAAUUGAAACCAUUCAAUUAAUUCCCGAAAAAUUGGGAAAGAUGAAACAACGAGGAAAACGAAUAAAAGGGCUUAAGUAUCUCUUGGUCUCUGUGUUUGUACUGGAGCAAGAAAGUAAAAGUAAAGCACUAGAGAAAGUCGGCUGCCAAAAGACAAGAGCCAAGCCGCCCGUAAGAAAUUGUCUAAUAGGAAGAGACAAAAGCUACAACUAUGAAGGUCGCGUGAUUCUGGCUUCUUAAUUGCUGCCGAAGAGAAAAAAAGGAAAAGAAAACGUCUGACACUAAAAAGCAAAAGCUAAUCUAAUUACAAAGACGUAAAUCUGGCUUUUUUCCUCUCUUUUGUAGCGGCGCCAGGAGAAAUCCACGAAAGGUCAGGAGCAAAGCUUUUCUUUUUGGGGUUUUAAUCCCAUGCCUCUCGUGGUUCACGUGGACCCAACCUCCUAAUUGCUCACUUUUUGCUGCCACCAAGCUCGCGGGUCCGGCUUUAGAUAUAUCUCCUCACUUUCUGGCGUGGCACGUCAUGAAACAAAGAGUCUUUUGGAAAUUUUUCUCGCGCGAUCACUUUUAACACCAAUCACCUACAAUUGAUACAAAUAUGAAAUAUGAGCAAAUUCUCAAUUCUUAGCAUCAUGAGUAGCCAAAAUUAGGACAGAAUAAUAGUGCAAAAUAUGCCCAAUAAUUGCUCUAUCAGAAUUAAAUUGUUUUCUCUCUUCUAAUACCAAUUUUAUAUUAUUUUUGUAUUUGAAUUGGGCUGAUUGUUACUAGCUAAUUAGCUUUAGGGGUGGUUUCCGAUAUUUUGAAAACCUCAGUGAGAUUGUCAAAAACCUCAGGGGAGGUUUCUGAAAUUAUCCCAUAAUUCUAUCUACGUCUAAUACUAUUUAUACUAAGAGGGUUGCUCACGAUAAAUGUUCUAACAUUAUCAUACACCUCCUCUUAUCCCUUCAUUUGUAUUUCUAUCUUAUUUACAGAAUCAAGAUAAUAGUAUAAAAAAUUCAAUCCCAUUGUACUAUUGAAUCAUGACGUGCAGGAAAAAAGGAAGAAGUAAAGAUAAAACGAAUGAGUAGCACAGUAUUCACCUUUAAUCCAUGCUUUAGACUAGCAGAAAAUAAUGCAAAUUUUGUCAACAGCAAAUGUUAUCAGCGGGAACCGACACAUCAUCCGGAACAAUGGAAUGGGCACUCUCCCUGCUGCUCAACAAUCCACAAGUUCUAAAGAAAGCCCAGCAAGAAAUUGACGCGUACGCUGGCCAAUCAAGGCUUAUCAAUGACUCGGACUUGGGUCAGCUGCCUUAUCUUCAUGCAAUUAUUAGUGAAACACUUCGCAUUUGCCCGGUGGCCCCUAUUCUGGUGCCUCAUGUGUCAUCCCAAGAGUGUUGUGUUGGAGGCUACAAUAUCCCCGGUGGCACGUUGCUGUUAGUGAACUUAUGGGCAAUGCAAAAUGAUCCCAAGGUUUGGGAAGAACCCACAAAAUUUAGGCCUGAGAGGUUUAUAAGUUUGGAAGGGCAAAGAGAUGGAUUUGUGUUCAUGCCAUUUGGGUUUGGCCGAAGGGGAUGUCCUGGCGAAAAUUUGGCCAUGAGCGUUGUGGGGUUGACAUUGGGGUUGCUUAUUCAAUGUUUUGAGUGGGAAAGAGUUGGGGAAGAGUUGGUGGAUAUGACUGAAGGGGCAGGGCUUACCAUGCCAAGGGCUAAAGAAUUGAUGGCCAAGUGUAAACCACGGCAAGAAAUGGUCAAACUUCUUUCUCAAUCGUGAUUGGGAUUUCAGAAGUUGGUACCUCUAAGAAAAAAACCCAUCGCAGUGAUGACAACAUUGUGAACAAAGUGUGCUUGUUUUGCCAUUAUUUUUGUGAUUCUAUACCUUCUUGUAUGUGGAAUAAAGGAUUUGAUUAAAAGUUUAAAAUACGGUUAGAGACACCUUAUUUUAAUUUAGUACGUUUUAUUGUAGGAAUAGAUGCAUAUGCAUACCUUUUUAUUUUGAUAGGUGAAAAUAAAACAACAAAAAAAAGACUUACAAAUAUGUUAGAUCUUCAAUGUUCAUGAAUAAAACUCUCUCUCUUUUUUUUUCACUUUUACUUCCUUUUGGAAAAGAAUUAAAACUCUUCUUUUUUUUUUUUACAGUUUUUUAUUUGUUCAUGAUGUGGGAGGUCUAUGUUCAUUUGAAAUCAAGAGCUCACCCCAACUUUUGUAGAAACUAGAGGGGAAGUUAGUGUAGUUUACCAACAAGAUACGUGUCUACUUACUUGAAUAACCAGUAAUAAGAUUUAAGGAAGAAAAACUUGGGCUACUCCAGUUAGCAAUGCCCAAGUAUCAAAAAAUGAAGAGCCCAAAUUCAUGUGAAAAUGUAUACAUGUUCUUGGUUAAUUUCACAAUAAACUUGUAAUCCUUUUUUUUGGCAAUUCAAAUUAAAUUCCAUUUUGCCUUUGGAUAUAACCAAGAGUUAUGUCCCUUUUAAUGAAUCUAGUAUAUUUUGGAGGGCUUUACUACUUCAAAUUUUUUUUUAAAAAUUUUAUCAGUAGUAAUCAUGAAAAAUAAAUCAUUUUCAACUAUGUAGUACUGAAAGAAACAUGCGACAGAAAAGAGUGGCAUCUCCAUAUAUUUUCUGAGCGUCAAAAUAAAAUUAUAAACUUUCUACCACUAACUCUUUUAUCUAAACCAUGCAAUUUUGCGUGCAUCAAAAUAGCGUAAUUAUUCAGUUUUCGUGUAAGGAAAUGAAAAUCUUAGGACUUGCUAGGAAAAACAUGGCGGUCUGGCUUCAGUGAAAUAUUUUUGCUAGAAAAUGUCGACUAACUUACCUACCUUUUAAUUCUUAUACUCUUUUCGUCCCAUUGAAAGUGUUAUACUUUUAUUUUAGAAUGUCUCAAAAUAUUUGUUCUGUUAAUAAAGUCAAAAUAUAUUUUAGUCUCUCUCUUCAACAUAGUUCAUCUCUCUAAUCAUAUACACGUUACCAUUCAAAUUCAAAUGUUGAAUUUGUAGGAAUAAAAUUGAAAAGAGAAGCACAAACAUCACAAUCAAACCACUAUUUUUAAAAAGUUUGAUUUUUGAAACAGAACCAAAUAAUUAGGACGGAAGGAGUAUAAACUAAAAUGAAAAAGGAAGUCUAGUGAUAAUUGAACCGUCAAAUAUCAUAAACCUUUUCAUAAAAUUGCUGGCUGAUCAGUAUAGCAAGUAGAUGAUGAUGCUUGUGUAGUUGCUAUCAUCCUUAGGUAUGAAAUUUUUCAUGAAGACCCCUUAGUAAUAAGUUUCUGAAUAGCUUCCCACAAAAGUUUCCGGGAGGUAAAUUAACAAUCUUUUGCAUUACUUUGGCCCCGGAGACAUGACAAUAAUAUCUUAGACGAAAGAACUUAGCCCCGACAAAUAUCAUGAACUUAUUGACAAUAGGUGGCUUAAUUUGUAAGAAAUAAAAAAUUAUUUAAAAAUAAGAAAAAAAAAUUAUUUAACGAAAUGCAAGUAACAUCUUGAACGAUUUUUCCUUAUUAACUCACAAAGUUAAGUUCCACUGUGGUACUUGCCAAUGGAACAAAGUUGACAGCAAAUCUUGUUGGUUGAAUGAGUCUCCUGACACAGCGUAUUAAGCAAUAAGCAUUCAUUGGUAUACCCAAACCUAUUACUCUGUAUAAGUGUACGUAUCAUAUUCACCCGUACCGUACGUCUCUUUCUACAUUUAGACACUCCCAUAUUUCUAUAUUAAUUUCACUUUUGCUAAAGGAUUACUGGGUAAAGUGUAAAGCACGGCAAGAAAUGGUUAAACUUCUUUCUCAAUUGUGAUUUGUGGGACUGUUUAACUGUCAAAAUUAAUGUGAAAACGUAUGAGAAAGUAGAAUCCUCGAAAUCCUUUAUUUUUUCAAAAUUUAGUUUUUUAAAUACUAAAAAUUUUUAAAAAUACUCUAAAAAGUAAUCUAAAUUUUUUUAAUGUUUAAAAAAUAUUCCAAAAUAUAUUUUAAAAACUCUACUACUCUUAAAUAUUUCAAAAUAUUUUCUAAAAAUAUUUCAAAAUAUACUCUAAAAACUCUGCUACAGUAAAGUUUUCAAAAAAUAUCUCAAAAAACAGCUAAUCCAAACGGAGUAAUUGAUAAACCCUAAGACAUUUAGAUGGUGAAGAAAAAGUAAAAUUAACACCACUCUUUUAACUGUUGGAAUACUUUCAAGGUACUAAAUUAUACCUUCUUAGUACCACUCGAAAGAAAGAAAAACAAGCCUUGGAAAGAAAUAGUAUCUAGAAUAAAUCUACUGCACAAUUUGGGAAUUAUUCAUCAUUCGAUCAAGUGAUGAAUAAAUCAUACGCAAGUUCAUGUAUUAGCAGAUUAAUUAUUGAAUCUAUUCAUAAAUCAGAGGAUUGCGACACAAGGAAACUUGCAGAAUUGGACAACUAUAUGGUCCCGAAGAAAAGAAAUUGACUUGCUUCAAGAUUUCCACAAACUUGGAGCGGGGGGCGAGUGGUGACGGACGACUAAGGAACUCAAGAAAGUUAAAAUAGCCAAUUACGCAAAGUUUUGGAUCCAUUAGUUGAUUGACUGACUUCUAUUGCUAGCCGGUCAAUGCCCCCUUUUAUAAAUCAACAAGAACUUUUCCAUGGAAAAUGUGUCUCUCAUUUUGGCCAAAAUUUCCGAAUCAAUACCUUCAGUCUCCGGUCAAAUGAAGUCGUAACUUGAUAAGCUUACAAGACUUUCGUUUUCCUUCUAGAAAAAAAAAAAGAAUAAAAUAAUUCCCUUGCCCUUCAACAACCUCAACAAUAAGGUUCACUAUGAGAGAAAUUUUUUUUCCAUCUAACACACUUACGUUACUCCUAAUUCAUUGCAUAAAUACGUACAAUCACAGUUAUUGAACUUAGUAUAUUUUAGUAAUUUUUUAAAUUAAUUAUCUUAUUUUUAAAAAAUUAAUACCUGAGACUCUUAUUAACGAGUGUCGACUGAAUACCUGAUAUCAAACCGAUCGAUGCUGUAGAUAGAGAAUGGUUGUUUGCAUGGAAACCAAAUCUUUUUUUUUUUUUUUUUAUUUGCUCCUUCCCCUCUUAUACAACCACCAUAUGUAGAAAGUUGAGUUCUUGGAAUCCUCCAGUGACACAGGUAUGCUGGUAAGCAAAGCACUUGAAUAUCUUCCAGAAGAAAGAUAUGUCGCGCAGCCUUAAUUGACGAAGUAAUCUCGUCAACUUUUUUUUUAAAAAUUUUGUACUGUAUAGAAAUUCCCCGGAGUUGGAGGGGCAGUUGCUUCUAAUCAAAAUAUGCUUCACACUUCACGCCACACGCACACGGUUAGGACCAGAAGUCUCAUAUGCCCUUUUCGGUGCAUUUCGUCUAAAUUCUUUUGUAGCGUGAGAAUUUAUUUAUUUAUUUAUUUUUUAAAAAUGGCUACCUAUUUUUAUUGCUUAAUUAACGAUGCUUUCGGUGCGUUUGAGUUUUCAAGAAAAUGAAUUUGAAGAGUAACAAACAUUAAGAUUAUUUGAAAUAUAUUAUUUUUUUUAAAAAUACUGUAUGAGAUAAAAAGUUGAUGCACUGACAGUAUAUACACUUUUAUCAUUAUUAGAUGCAUGACACAUAAUUUGAAUUUAAAUUUGAAACUCAAAUUUUGCAUAUGUGUCGUAUAUCCAACCGUAAUAGUGUAUACAUCGUUAGUAUACAUAAGAUUUACUCUUUGAAGUUUUAAUCUAUCCUUUGGUUUCCCAUUCUCGUGACAAAAGCACAGCUGCGCGAAUCAGUAAAAUUGGACGUAGUAAUUUGCUGUAAUGUGCAAAACCGAACUUACCUCCAUUUAGGGUUCUUGUCUAUAGAUUGACCAUGUGGUUCGGCAACACUUUUAGUGCAAAAAUUUUCAGCAUGCAACAGUCGUCCAUAGCUUAAGUGAGUUAGGCGCAGCACAUUGUUUGGCCCCGUUCCAUAUGACUUCAUUUCGUUGCCAACUUUUCUUGGAGGACUGGAAUCUCAUUAAAUAGAUCCAGCACGAUUGGUCCACGACAAUUAUUUGGUUCUGCUUUGCUGUCGUGAACUUGUGCAUUGAUUCUGUGCUUUAAUUUCUCUUGAUUUGUAGAAAAUUUGCUAGUUUUUAACUGCAAGAUUUUGUUACUCCGAAGAUUUUUAAUUUUUAUGCAGGAAAAAAAAACGCACUUCCAAACUCUGGGUACAAUAUUUGAAAAAAAAAAAGGGUAGAUGACAGGUAAGCUAAGUAGUGGUUUAGUGCCACUAUUGAAAUGUAAAAACCUCCAACCCUACACUUUUCCGACCCAUGCACCGCUCCCCGUGCCCGAACCCAAGAAGAUUUGUACAAGAAAACAGAAAAACUUUGGUGGGGUCUUGCUCGCACUAAUUUGUCACGAUUAAAUGUAUUCUUGUUUAAAAAAUUCAUGCAGAUGUGUAGUGCAUUCGUCUGAUCUGGUGGUGAUUUAAUCCUCUUCGAAUUAUUCUUGAACCUCUUCAGGUCCUAUUCCUCCUCCAUACUAUAGGAAGUUAUCGUAUCGAAAAAAAAAAAACAGAAAAAUCUCAACUCAUUAGCCUUAUUUAAUUUGAUUUGAAGCAUAAUUUUCUUGAAGAAGAGGGGCCGGGCCACACUGAUUGUAUUAGAGCAUCCACAAUGCUAUUACACUUUGUGGAGUGUAAUCCACAUGCCACGUCAGCAUUCCACUUUCUCCUCUUUUAUUACACUUUCACUCACAAUGGAUUACACUCCACAAGGUGUAAUAGCAUGGGUCCACAAUUAAUCAAAUAUUUAUUUUAAUAAUGCAUAACUCAUAUCCCAUAAAUAAAUAAAGUAAUUUUUAAAACUAAUUUUGUUAUUUUUAAAAAAUAAAGUACUAACUUUCGUUAAAUUUUGUACAUUUUGAAUUUUUUUAUUUUCUAAAAAUGAUAUUAUUAAUUUUUAAGUUUGAAUAAUAUAUCUUUUUCUAUGUUUCAAAAAUAAUAUAUUGUUAUUUUUUAAAAAAUAAUUAUGUAGGAAAUUAAACAAAUAUUUGAUACUUCAAAUGCGAAGAUAUCAUAAUAAUUCAUACUUAAUUAAUAAUUCGGAAUGUAAUUAGUUGAACUCCAUAACAUAAUAUUACAUAAGUUAAAUCAAAUAAAAUACAAAUAAUAACAAAAUGAAUACUAAUUUUCAUUGUCAUUGCCUUCGAAUCGUUCCCAAAUAUGCUCGACCAAGUCUGAUCGAAGUUGAUCGAAGUCUGAUCCCAAAUAUGCUUUGUGCUGGAAUUUUAUCGUUGUCAUAGGGCCCACAUUCAAUGGAUUACACGCAUCAUACAUGUGAUGCGUGUAAUCUCCAUGACACGGCUCCAGCGGUGUAAUGGCUCCCCGUUACUGAUUACACCCCCAUUGGAGCUGCCCUUAUGUAUAGUAUAGCUCGUAAUGGUUUUAAUCUACUCAUAACAAAUUCACUCUCCCAAACUCAAAAGUCAUCUUUGUAUAUAGAAUUUAGCCAACGAUUAUAAUUGCACAUUUUAAUAGGAAGUUUCAUAGGCUGGCUGUCAAUUGCAACCUUACAAGAAAACGAGAUGAAGACCACUCAGAGUCACAAGUCCAACAAUAAAUCCACUAACUCUCAUUAAUUAAACCCCAUCCAUCAUUCAAUCCCAAAUAAACCAGCAAGAAAUCCGCAACUAUCCAUGGAAGCCUUGUGUCUCUACCUUCCACUUUUCCUAGCAUUAUACAUCUUCACCAAGCACUUCCUCAACAAAAUCCGAAACCUUCCACCUAGUCCCAUCCUUAAUCUCCCCGUCCUCGGCCACCUCCUCCUCAUCAAGAAGCCUCUUCACCGAGGCCUAGCCAAGAUUUCCAACCGUCAUGGCCCGGUCCUCCUCCUGGAAUUCGGCUCACGCCCAGUCCUCCUUGUCUCCUCCCCUUCCGCAGCCGAAGAAUGCCUCAACAAGCACGACAUCGUUUUCGCCAACCGCCCGCGUCUGCUGGCUGGAAAACAUCUGGGAUACAAUUAUACCUCAAUGGCAUGGACGUCCUACGGGGAUCACUGGAGAAAUCUACGGCGGAUAGCUUCACUGGAGAUCUUGUCUUCCCACAGGCUUCAAACGCUUCACGGGAUACGUGUUGAUGAAGUAAAAU